Molecule: ribosomal RNA, 497 nt
Filed under: uncultured bacterium
Lineage: Bacteria
Description: partial 16S ribosomal RNA
Rfam family: Bacterial small subunit ribosomal RNA
Source: RNAcentral
GAUGAACGCUGGCGGCGUGCCUAAUACAUGCAAGUCGAGCGAACGGACGAGAAGCUUGCUUCUCUGAUGUUAGCGGCGGACGGGUGAGUAACACGUGGAUAACCUACCUAUAAGACUGGGAUAACUUCGGGAAACCGGAGCUAAUACCGGAUAAUAUUUUGAACCGCAUGGUUCAAAAGUGAAAGACGGUCUUGCUGUCACUUAUAGAUGGAUCCGCGCUGCAUUAGCUAGUUGGUAAGGUAACGGCUUACCAAGGCAACGAUGCAUAGCCGACCUGAGAGGGGGAUAGGCCACACUGGAACUGAGACACGGUCCAGACUCCUACGGGAGGCAGCAGUAGGGAAUCUUACGCAAUGGGCGAAAGCCUGACGGAGCAACGCCGCGUGAGUGAUGAAGGUCUUCGGAUCGUAAAAAUCUGUUAUUAGGGAAGAACAUAUGUGUAAGUAACUGUGCACAUCUUGACGGUACCUAAUCAGAAAGCCACGGCUAACUACGUG